This is a long non-coding RNA of Amblyraja radiata (thorny skate), 189 nucleotides long. RefSeq lists it as uncharacterized. The transcript has 3 exons. The record is from RefSeq and is a predicted model, not a curated record. Lineage: Eukaryota; Metazoa; Chordata; Chondrichthyes; Rajiformes; Rajidae.
CCAUCCCCGGAAUAAACACUAGGUUAAUUCCUGGGAUGCCUGGACUGUCAUAUGUUGAAAGAAUCGAGCGACUGGGCUUCUAUACAUUGUAAUUUUGAAGGAUGAGCGGGUAUCUUAUUGAAACAUAUAAGAUUAUUGAGGGAUUGGAAAUGCUAGAGGCAGGAAACAUGUUCCUGAUGUUGGGGGAGU